GAUGAACGCUGGCGGCGUGCCUAAUACAUGCAAGUCGAGCGAACGGACGAGAAGCUUGCUUCUCUGAUGUUAGCGGCGGACGGGUGAGUAACACGUGGAUAACCUACCUAUAAGACUGGGAUAACUUCGGGAAACCGGAGCUAAUACCGGAUAAUAUUUUGAACCGCAUGGAUCAAAAGUAAAAGACGGUCUUGCUGUCACUUAUAGAUGGAUCCGCGCUGCAUUAGCUAGUUGGUAAGGUAACGGCUUACCAAGGCAACGAUGCAUAGCCGACCUGAGAGGGUGAUCGGCCACACUGGAACUGAGACACGGUCCAGACUCCUACGGGAGGCAGCAGUAGGGAAUCUUCCGCAAUGGGCGAAAGCCUGACGGAGCAACGCCGCGUGAGUGAUGAAGGUCUUCGGAUCGUAAAACUCUGUUAUUAGGGAAGAACAUAUGUGUAAGUAACUGUGCACAUCUUGACGGUACCUAAUCAGAAAGCCACGGCUAACUACGUG
This 497-nucleotide ribosomal RNA is filed under the name uncultured bacterium. Its description in RNAcentral is "partial 16S ribosomal RNA". It matches the Rfam family "Bacterial small subunit ribosomal RNA", at positions 28 to 507 of the family's 1533-position model. The record is from RNAcentral.